Molecule: ribosomal RNA, 449 nt
Filed under: uncultured bacterium
Lineage: Bacteria
Description: partial 16S ribosomal RNA
Rfam family: Bacterial small subunit ribosomal RNA
Source: RNAcentral
AACGAACGCUGGCGGCAUGCCUAACACAUGCAAGUCGAACGAGACCUUCGGGUCUAGUGGCGCACGGGUGCGUAACGCGUGGGAAUCUGCCCUUGGGUUCGGGAUAACAGUUGGAAACGACUGCUAAUACCGGAUGACGUCUUCGGACCAAAGAUUUAUCGCCCAGGGAUGAGCCCGCGUCGGAUUAGCUAGUUGGUAGGGUAAAAGCCUACCAAGGCGACGAUCCGUAGCUGGUCUGAGAGGAUGAUCAGCCACACUGGGACUGAGACACGGCCCAGACUCCUACGGGAGGCAGCAGUGGGGAAUAUUGGACAAUGGGCGAAAGCCUGAUCCAGCAAUGCCGCGUGAGUGAUGAAGGCCUUAGGGUUGUAAAGCUCUUUUACCCGGGAUGAUAAUGACAGUACCGGGAGAAUAAGCCCCGGCUAACUCCGUGCCAGCCGCCGCCGUAA